RNAcentral lists this small RNA (363 nucleotides) under Alcanivoracaceae. Its description in RNAcentral is "SLJS01 sp913055795 Standard tmRNA". It matches the Rfam family "transfer-messenger RNA". Rfam says of the family: Bacterial tmRNA, also known as 10Sa RNA or SsrA, is named for its dual tRNA and mRNA-like properties. Its role is to liberate the mRNA from a stalled ribosome. To accomplish this part of the tmRNA is used as a reading frame that ends in a translation stop signal. RNAcentral also lists the same sequence under 1 other name. The record is from RNAcentral. Lineage: Bacteria; Pseudomonadati; Pseudomonadota; Gammaproteobacteria; Oceanospirillales.
GGGGGCGACAUGGAUUCGACGCCGGUACGGAAAUCUGUAGCGCAUGCCGAGCGGGGUCACAACGCUCGUAAAUCACCAGUGACAUCUUAAAGUAAUCGCUAACGACGAUUCUUACGCACUGGCGGCAUAACUAAGUCCGCCUACCAUCGAGUGCUCGUCGCCUGUGGCGGCACAAGAUGGGCGACGCAACACAGGCUCGCGGUGAGGUUUGGUCCCGAACCGACCCGUUAAAACCCUGAGGGACUCGGCGCUGUCGUCCUGCUUGCCGGGCUGACAGGGCUUAAAGCAAUAGACAAGGCUAAGCAUGUAGACCUGCAGGUGGAUGACUGACGGACGGGGGUUCGAUUCCCCCCGCCUCCACCA